AACCGCCACCGUCUCAGCCUGAAGGCGCCCGAUCUCGUCUGAUCUCGGAAGCUAAGCAGGGUCGGGCCUGGUUAGUAUCUUCGAUGGGAGACCACCUGGGAAUCCCGGGUGCUCGAGGCUU
RNAcentral lists this ribosomal RNA (121 nucleotides) under Bison bison bison. Lineage: Eukaryota; Metazoa; Chordata; Mammalia; Artiodactyla; Bovidae. The record is from RNAcentral.